RNAcentral lists this ribosomal RNA (781 nucleotides) under uncultured Alphaproteobacteria bacterium. RNAcentral's name for it is "bacterial SSU rRNA". It matches the Rfam family "Bacterial small subunit ribosomal RNA", at positions 55 to 884 of the family's 1533-position model. The record is from RNAcentral. Lineage: Bacteria; Pseudomonadati; Pseudomonadota; Alphaproteobacteria.
AUGCAAGUCGAACGAAGUCUUCGGACUUAGUGGCGCACGGGUGAGUAACAUGUGGGAAUCUACCUAAAGGUUCGGAAUAACUGCGGGAAACUGUAGCUAAUACCGGAUGUGUCUGCAAAGAGAAAGAUUUAUCGCCUUUAGAUGAGCCCGCACUAGAUUAGCUAGUUGGUGAGGUAACUGCUCCACCAAGGCUACGAUCUAUAGCUGAUUUGAGAGGAUGAUCAGCCACACUGGGACUGAGACACGGCCCAGACUCCUACGGGAGGCAGCAGUAGGGAAUAUUGGACAAUGGGGGAAACCCUGAUCCAGCAAUGCCGCGUGAGUGAAGAAGGCCCUCGGGUUGUAAAACUCUUUCAUCAAUGAUGAUAAUGACAUUAAUUGAAGAAGAAGCUCCGGCUAACUUCGUGCCAGCAGCCGCGGUAAUACGAAGGGGGCUAGCGUUGUUCGGAAUCACUGGGCGUAAAGCGUAUGUAGGCGGAUCAAAAAGUUAGAUGUGAAAUCCCUGGGCUCAACCCAGGAACUGCAUUUAAAACUAGUGAUCUAGAAUUUGGUAAGGGUUAGUAGAAUUUCCAGUGUAGAGGUGAAAUUCGUAGAUAUUGGAAAGAAUACCAGAAGCGAAGGCGACUAACUAGGCCAUUUUUGACGCUGAGAUACGAAAGCGUGGGUAGCAAACAGGAUUAGAUACCCUGGUAGUCCACGCAGUAAACGAUGAGUGCUAGUCGCUGGUACAAUAGUAUCAGUGUCGUAGCUAACGCAUUAAGCACUCCGCCUGGGAAGUACG